This 492-nucleotide ribosomal RNA is filed under the name uncultured bacterium. RNAcentral's name for it is "partial 16S ribosomal RNA". It matches the Rfam family "Bacterial small subunit ribosomal RNA", at positions 29 to 507 of the family's 1533-position model. The record is from RNAcentral.
AGUGAACGCUGGCGGUAGGCCUAACACAUGCAAGUCGAACGGCAGCACAGUAAGAGCUUGCUCUUACGGGUGGCGAGUGGCGGACGGGUGAGGAAUACAUCGGAAUCUACUUUUUCGUGGGGGAUAACGUAGGGAAACUUACGCUAAUACCGCAUACGACCUACGGGUGAAAGCAGGGGAUCUUCGGACCUUGCGCGAUUGAAUGAGCCGAUGUCGGGUUAGCUAGUUGGCGGGGUAAAGGCCCACCAAGGCGACGAUCCGUAGCUGGUCUGAGAGGAUGAUCAGCCACACUGGAACUGAGACACGGUCCAGACUCCUACGGGAGGCAGCAGUGGGGAAUAUUGGACAAUGGGCGCAAGCCUGAUCCAGCCAUACCGCGUGAGUGAAGAAGGCAUUCGGGUUGUAAAGCCCUUUUGUUGGGAAAGAAAAGCAGCAGGUUAAUACCCCGCUGUUCUGACGGUACCCAAAGAAUAAGCACCGGCUAACUUCGUG